This 714-nucleotide long non-coding RNA is filed under the name Homo sapiens (human). RNAcentral's name for it is "non-protein coding lnc-PITRM1-7:10". Lineage: Eukaryota; Metazoa; Chordata; Mammalia; Primates; Hominidae. The record is from RNAcentral.
AGGUGUUCACGGAUAAUGAAGCUGAUGUGAGAGCCCUGGAGAGAAACAUCAGUCAAAGCUUCCAUGGUUGGAAUGCUGAGCCAUUGCUAGGACGAUGAGGCUACAGGAAAGUGAAAUGCACCUGCUGCGAUCUGAUCCAACUGACCACUCCUGCUGCUCCUCCCUUGCACCUCAGGCAUCUCCUUCCAAUCUGGAGGAAACACUUUUACCUCCACUUUUCUUUUACAGUCCUCCAAACUCUGUUCCUUCUAGGGAGCACAAGUACAGAAAUAGAAACCUGGACUCCCAUCAUCCUGCUUCACAAACUUACAAUGUUAAAGAAAGAAAAAAAAAAAGACCAAGUACAUUACCUGGUAGAAUUGGAGAGAUGGGCACGAAAGAGCUGUAAAUACAGUUAGAAAACACACUAGCAUUUACAAAUGUGUAUGAGAAACAAUGAGGAGGAUUUUCAGAGACUAUCAUAACCAUUUAUUUUUCUAAUAUGUGAUAAGUAAACGCACAGAAAAUCAAUUUAAUAUUUGGGGCUUUUAUUUCUCAUUUUUUAGAUUGCCAGAAAGACUGUCCAGUGUUAUAAAGUUUGUGUCAAUAUUCUGGAAUUGGCAAUUUUGUCAUUUAUAUGGGAGAAAUAGCUAAAGGUGUAGUAUAAAGUAUUUGCUCGUAGGUAAUGGAAUGUUACCUUUACCCAAAGAUAUAAAAAAUAAACGGUAGAACAAA